AUGCUGCGAUCUUUCAUGAUAACUUAUUGUUGCUGAGUUAAUAAUGGCAUUAUCAACAAUUAUAUCCGGUACUAGGAUUCUUCGAGUUCUUCAGCGCUGUUUUAUUUGAGUUUUUCCCAUCUCAUAUCCUCCCUGCUAUUGCAUUAGUUAGCUAGUCAAGACUAGUUUCGGUGGUUAGUUUCACCGUUAUUGAUCCCAUCCCCAUCCGCAUCCCCAUCCCCAUCCCCAGACUGCAGCCGACAUAUCAAAAUCCCCCCGUUCACUCCGCUGCUUGUCCACCUCGAUAUCGUCGGUCCCCCGGCAAGGCUCCGUUUCCAAUGCAGUAAACUCCAGCCGCAACAGCAGAAGCAGAUACAUAGAUUUAGCUACUAUCAUUCAACCUCCCACCCUCCCCUCCCUCCUCCUCCUCCUCCUUUCCCCAUUCUCUCUCUCACUUUCCUCCACACUGCCCUCUCAUCCUCUAACCCUGAUGAGGCUCGGGGCGCUGCGAGUCCCUGUCGCUGUCCGAAAAUACCAAUACACGCUGACAUCUGGUUGGUAACUCUCCAAUCAGCGGUUCCGACAUCUUACCAUCGCCAUCACCAAAGAAAAAAAAUAAAAUAAAAUAAAUAAAAGAAAAAAAGAACAAGAAAAAGAAAAAGAAAGCUGUCGCUAUUUACCAUCUAACAAUCUCAGGCACCAAGCCUCCAAAAAACCCCCAAAAGCAACCAACUCUCGCUUCUUUCUCUUCUCUCGUUCUCCACUCCCGCGCUUCCUCCGCCUUCAUCCCUCCGCCAUCUUCUCUCUUCUAUCCUUUCACUCUUUCUCUUCUCCCCACCCUUCCACAACAUUUCCUUACCUUCGUUUUGGGAAGAUUUAAAUUCUUUCGUUUGUCCUCUCACCUCUUGGGGCUUAUUUGCACGGCUCUUUGAUUUUAAUCAAUUUGUUUGUUCUAUUUUUGUUCCGGUUUUUUUUCUUUUUCCCUCCUACUUUCGUUCCUUUUUUUUUGUCCCGAUCUUAUCUCCUCGAGGUCCAGAACCUCUCACCCUCACCCGCCCCUCCUUUUUUUUUUUUUUUUAAAAAAAAAAAAUAACAAAAUUCUCCCGCCGCAUACAUAAUACAUAAAACAUGGCACUGGAGAGUAGUACCCCAACAGGUGGUGGUGCCCCUGCGGGUAACUCCAGCGAUUUUGUCCGAAAGCUCUACAAAAUGCUCGAGGAUCCGUCGUACUCGCAAAUUGUUCGCUGGGGAGACGACAAUGACAGCUUCGUCGUAUUAGAGUGCGAAAAAUUCACCAAAUCAAUACUUCCGAAGCACUUCAAACACAGUAAUUUUGCGAGCUUCGUCCGACAACUCAACAAGUACGACUUCCAUAAAGUCCGCCAAAAUAAUGAAGAGUCUGGUCAAUCACCCUACGGACCCAAUGCUUGGGAGUUCAAGCACCCCGAGUUCAAGGCCAACAACAAAGAAUCAUUGGAUAAUAUUCGGAGGAAAGCCCCAGCGCCACGAAAACCCGCCCAGUUGAACGAGGAAACAUUCCAUACCCAACAGUUCGACAUGCUGAACCAGCAACUUGUAGCUCAGGCCCAGCAGUUUCAGCAGUUAAGCGAUCGUUUCUCACAAUUGGCUUUGGAAAAUCAAAUGAUGCAAACUGAAGUCCGGAGAGUUCAGAAAUCGAUGUUAAGCCACGAGCAGGUUCUCCACUACAUGAUGAACUACCUGCAUGGCGUCGAUGCACGACACAGACGAGAGAGCAGAACACAGGUGUCGUUCCAGGGGACCACCGGGCCAGACUUAAGCCCUUCCCAAGUUGCACCGGCUGAAGAGGAGGCGGCUUCUCCUUUACAGCAAGCCAGCAAAAUUCUGAGCGAGCUGAGCAACGAAAUUCAAAUGAACUUGGGUAGUCUGGAAUCCAUGACCGACAUUCAAAGUCGGCUUCCCGGAGCCGCCCCCACGCCGCCUCUUGAUCAGACUCAGCGGAAUGGAACGAUAAGGCCUCCCACUUCCUCUGGUUCCACAUCGUCACUGGGAUAUUCUAAGCUAAAUGGCGAACUGGAACAGCUGGUUUAUCCCGUUGGUGCUCCCAAUGGGAUUGAACCACUGUAUAGCGAGCAUGUUAACAACAUUCCGUAUUCCUUUCCCCCUAAAGAGCUCGAUCCUAAUGACCCAAGGCGACAAUACGUGGAUGGACGCAAGAAGAGCAUGUACGUAAACCCAGGUUGGGUACAGCCUCCGCGCAUUCUCUUGGUUGAGGAUGACCAGACUUGUCGUCAAGUUGGUGGGAAGUUUUUGCUUUCAUUCUGUUGCACUGUUGAUUAUGCGCUCGAUGGCCUUGAAGCCGUUAAUAAAAUACAAGAAGGUUCUAAAUACGAUCUCAUCUUGAUGGAUAUCAUUAUGCCGAAUCUUGAUGGCGUUUCCGCUUGCAGUGUAAUUAGAAGGGUUGACACUACUCCGAUAAUCGCCAUGACAUCAAAUAUUCGCAGCAGCGACAUUGAGCUUUAUUUCCAGCAUGGCAUGAACGAUGUUCUUCCAAAACCGUUUACCCGCCAGAGCCUCCUCACUGUGCUCGAAAGACACCUAAAUCACCUAAAAACUAUACCAAACACAAUGGAAGCACCACAAUCAGCCAUUAUUGCGCCCAUCGCCCAAAACUCAGCUGCGCAGUCCGUCAAGGACGAGAAUUCUCCAGGCCAAUCGCCAGCUGCAUCGAUGAAUAACUGGCAGUCCCCCGGCCAAUUCCAGGGCAUGUCGCCCAUCACCCCCAGUGUCCCCAGUCAGUACAUGCAGCAGCAAACCCCAACCACUGCAGCUGCAGCUGCAGCAUUUGCGCUAGACCAAAACGGGGUCCAAUUCCCACACCCACAACCGCAACUCUCCACGAUGAACCCCACGGCGGCCACGGCGUCACGCGUCCAAAAUCGCCGUCAGAUGUCGGACAUAGCUGGCGCAGCCGAUGGGAACUCGUUCCCUAAACGACAAAAGAUCUUUACGCAUAACACUCAGACAGUUGUGAAUCCCAUGCAAACGAAUCGCAUAACCUAAAGAUUCCGUUUCUAUAUAUGUUUCGCUUCCGGCAUCGGUCGUAUCAUAUCGUGCCGAAUCCAUGUCGUUUCCUGUUGGCAAUGCCGCCAUCGUGCGUACUUCUUCUUAAGUCAUGGCUCCUCUUCUCAUCCCCCUAUCGCUCUCCUCCUUUGACUUUUUAUUGUUCUUUUUGGCCUAUUAAAAAGGUUUUUGGAUGGAAGCCAGCACCCUUCCUCUCCAGUUUUACCACGCAAACACACACACACAUAUAUAUAUAUAAAUAUAUGAGGAGACAGUGUACUGUGUGUCUAAUGGGUAUAAAGUAUUCAUUUUCUUUCACUUGUUCUGGUUGAAACCUGCUGAAACUGUCUUCCUCAUCAUUUACACAUUACCAUUGUCAUGUUCGUACGAAGGCUAUUUUUAUCUUUACCCUAUCUUGCUGGCACACAAAUCGAUAAUGUUAUUUACCACUACCUGGGGUUCCCACGGCCCCGGACAAAGCGAAACUUCACGUCGUUAUAUUUGAUUUGCUGUUUUGAAAACUCACCUCACUUCCCUUAUCCCUCUAAAUACUCCACACGCAUGACUUGAGUUAGCCAUCUCUUGUCUCUCCCCCCCUUUCUCUCUUUUGCUCGCAGGGCAUACCAAAUCAAAAGACACACUCUAUUGGCGUUUUAUGGGUGAACCAAUCUGGGAUUUCUAUUUUCAUUUUCCUUUUCUCUUGCUCAUUUGUGUCACUUGGGGGAAAAACAUAGUCUAUUGAUAUUUCUUAUUUCAUUUAUUUUGUUGUCUUAAAUCGGAAAUGUACUUAUGAGGCGGAAAUCUCGUCAUCUUCAAUCCACGACCACAACCAACAGCCACAGCCACUACAAACUCAUCAUUGUCAUCACCAUUAUACUACCUACCUAUCCCCUUUGCCCGCAGCUGGGGUCGUUUCUUUGUUCGUGAUAUUUGGAUAUAUCAAAUUGGUUUCUUUCAUGUGGCACAUACAUGUCCUUGGAUGGGCGGAUAUAUGAUAUGGAUCUAAAUCGCAAGGUCGGUUUUCUGUUGUUCCUAUAUAGGGUAAAUAGCUUUGGAUCGACGCGCGCGGGAAACCGGAGUGCCAGUAGGGAAAGCCUGGGACGGGGACGGGGGAUGACGGAAACCCGUGUGUAUGAGGUUUUUUUAUUUUUUUUUUUUUUCCUUUGGAUAACGGCACCCCGUCCUAAGGUUCCUUCCGCUGUGUCAUUAUUGGAGGGCACCGCUUCGGAAUAAAAGAGCAAUUCCAUUCUACUUAUCCGGGGGUUUCACAUUCACCGAUGGGAUUCCCCUUGCUUAAUAUAUCGGUUUCAUGCUCUACUUAUAUAUCUUCUUAAUACGUUUUCUAUUUUUUUUUUUUUUUUUUUUUUUUUUUUCAUUUCGGAAACGGAUGCAUAUGCAUACAUACACAGAUAUAUAUGGAUGCGUUGAUGUCCCACAUCGUGCACACUGCCGUCUAUCUAAUCCAUCCAUCCAUAUCCGUAUAUUUGGCAGUACAGUACAGACAAGAAGGUAGGAAGGCAGGUGAGAGUUGGAACGGAGAGUAAAACAACACGAAAAGCGCCAUUAAUCUAUUUCUUUGCGCUCUCUCUCCUUUUUUGGUUCCCUCUCGCUUUCAUUGGCGGCAAAUCUCCCUAUUUGUUCCCCCUUAUAUAUUAUCAUCUUGAUCAUUACUAAAUACACGGAUUGGGAUGAGAUGGGAUGAACAAUGAAAUGAAAUAAGAUUUGACGUCAAUUCUGGGUUGGAAAAAACGGGUGUCUCUGGAAGAUAUCGAUAAUGAUACAUCCAUGGAGUAUUCACUCAUUGUUUUCGAUUCUCCCUAUAUUCCGUAGGUCGCGCGGCCUCUUCU
This 4868-nucleotide small RNA is filed under the name Histoplasma capsulatum G186AR. RNAcentral's name for it is "hypothetical RNA". Lineage: Eukaryota; Fungi; Ascomycota; Eurotiomycetes; Onygenales; Ajellomycetaceae. The record is from RNAcentral.